AGAGUUUGAUCCUGGCUCAGAGCGAACGCUGGCGGCGUACUUAACACAUGCAAGUCGAACGGGGAUCAUCCGUGUAGCAAUACAUAGGUGGUCCUAGUGGCGCACGGGUGAGUAACACGUGGGUAACCUGCCCUUGAGUUCGGGAUACCCCCUCGAAAGGGGGGCUAAUACCGGAUACGUUCCUUGGAUCGACAGGUCUGGGGAGGAAAGGUGGCGCAAGCUGCCGCUCUUGGAGGGGCUCGCGGCCUAUCAGCUAGUUGGCGGGGUAACGGCCCACCAAGGCUAUGACGGGUAGCUGGUCUGAGAGGACGACCAGCCACACGGGGACUGAGACACGGCUCCGACUCCUACGGGAGGCAGCAGUGGGGAAUUUUCCGCAAUGGGCGAAAGCCUGACGGAGUGACGCCGCGUGUGGGACGAAGGCCUUCGGGUCGUAAACCACUGUCAGUGGGAAAGAAGGGUGUCGACGCUAAUACCGUCGGCACCUGACGGUACCUGCAGAGGAAGCCCCGGCCAACUCUGUGCCAGCAGCCGCGGUAAGACAGAGGGGGCAAGCGUUGCUCGGAAUUACUGGGCGUAAAGGGCGCGUAGGCGGGAUGGCAAGUCGGUCGUGAAAUCCUUCGGCUCAACCGAAGAACGUCGAUCGAUACUGCUGUUCUUGAGGGUUGCAGAGGAGACUGGAAUUCCCGGUGUAGCGGUGAAAUGUGUAGAGAUCGGGAGGAACACCGGUGGCGAAAGCGGGUCUCUGGGCAAUUCCUGACGCUGAGGCGCGAAAGCGUGGGGAGCAAACGGGAUUAGAUACUCCGGUAGUCCACGCUGUAAACGAUGACGACUAGUGUGGGGGGUUCAGUCCCUUCCGUGCCGCAGCUAACGCAUUAAGUCGUCCGCCUGGGGAGUACGGCCGCAAGGUUGAAACCUCAAAGGAAUUGACGGGGGCCCGCACAAGC
RNAcentral lists this ribosomal RNA (947 nucleotides) under uncultured bacterium. RNAcentral describes it as "bacterial SSU rRNA". It matches the Rfam family "Bacterial small subunit ribosomal RNA", at positions 8 to 930 of the family's 1533-position model. The record is from RNAcentral.